UACGGAGGAUCCGAGCGUUAUCCGGAUUUAUUGGGUUUAAAGGGGUGCGUAGGCGGCUUUAUAAGUCAGGGGUGAAAGACGGCAGCUUAACUGUCGCAGUGCCUUUGAUACUGUAGAGCUUGAAUGUGAUUGAAGAUGGCGGAAUGAGACAAGUAGCGGUGAAAUGCAUAGAUAUGUCUCAGAACUCCAAUUGCGAAGGCAGCUAUCUAAGUCAUGAUUGACGCUGAUGCACGAAAGCGUGGGGAUCAAACAGG
RNAcentral lists this ribosomal RNA (254 nucleotides) under uncultured Sphingobacterium sp. Its description in RNAcentral is "partial 16S ribosomal RNA". It matches the Rfam family "Bacterial small subunit ribosomal RNA", at positions 524 to 776 of the family's 1533-position model. Lineage: Bacteria; Pseudomonadati; Bacteroidota; Sphingobacteriia; Sphingobacteriales; Sphingobacteriaceae. The record is from RNAcentral.